AGACCCGAAACCCGGUGAUCUAGCCAUGGGCAGGUUGAAGGUUGGGUAACACUAACUGGAGGACCGAACCGACUAAUGUUGAAAAAUUAGCGGAUGACCUGUGGCUGGGGGUGAAAGGCCAAUCAAACCGGGAGAUAGCUGGUUCUCCCCGAAAGCUAUUUAGGUAGCGCCUCGUGAAUUCAUCUCCGGGGGUAGAGCACUGUUUCGGCUAGGGGGCCAUCCCGGCUUACCAACCCGAUGCAAACUGCGAAUACCGGAGAAUGUUAUCACGGGAGACACACGGCGGGUGCUAACGUCCGUCGUGAAGAGGGAAACAACCCAGACCGCCAGCUAAGGUCCCAAAGUCAUGGUUAAGUGGGAAACGAUGUGGGAAGGCCCAGACAGCCAGGAUGUUGGCUUAGAAGCAGCCAUCAUUUAAAGAAAGCGUAAUAGCUCACUGGUCGAGUCGGCCUGCGCGGAAGAUGUAACGGGGCUAAACCAUGCACCGAAGCUGCGGCAGCGAACGUAUCACCCAAGACAACUUUACGGAGUUGACGAUUGACGGAGCGAAGCGACGUCAAAGCGUUCAUUAAAGUCGAGUUGGCUUAGGGAUACGUUCGUUGGGUAGGGGAGCGUUCUGUAAGCCUGUGAAGGUGUGUCGUGAGGCAUGCUGGAGGUAUCAGAAGUGCGAAUGCUGACAUAAGUAACGAUAAAGCGGGUGAAAAGCCCGCUCGCCGGAAGACCAAGGGUUCCUGUCCAACGUUAAUCGGGGCAGGGUGAGUCGACCCCUAAGGCGAGGCCGAAAGGCGUAGUCGAUGGGAAACGGGUUAAUAUUCCCGUACUUGGUGUUACUGCGAAGGGGGGACGGAGAAGGCUAUGUUGGCCGGGCGACGGUUGUCCCGGUUUAAGCGUGUAGGUGUGUGUUCCAGGUAAAUCCGGUUCACUUUAACACUGAGGCGUGAUGACGAGGCACUACGGUGCUGAAGCAACAAAUGCCCUGCUUCCAGGAAAAGCCUCUAAGCAUCAGGUAACAUCAAAUCGUACCCCAAACCGACACAGGUGGUCAGGUAGAGAAUACCAAGGCGCUUGAGAGAACUCGGGUGAAGGAACUAGGCAAAAUGGUGCCGUAACUUCGGGAGAAGGCACGCUGACACGUAGGUGAAGUGAUUUACUCAUGGAGCUGAAGUCAGUCGAAGAUACCAGCUGGCUGCAACUGUUUAUUAAAAACACAGCACUGUGCAAACACGAAAGUGGACGUAUACGGUGUGACGCCUGCCCGGUGCCGGAAGGUUAAUUGAUGGGGUCAGCGCAAGCGAAGCUCCUGAUCGAAGCCCCGGUAAACGGCGGCCGUAACUAUAACGGUCCUAAGGUAGCGAAAUUCCUUGUCGGGUAAGUUCCGACCUGCACGAAUGGCGUAAUGAUGGCCAGGCUGUCUCCACCCGAGACUCAGUGAAAUUGAACUCGCUGUGAAGAUGCAGUGUACCCGCGGCAAGACGGAAAGACCCCGUGAACCUUUACUAUAGCUUGACACUGAACAUUGAGCCUUGAUGUGUAGGAUAGGUGGGAGGCUUUGAAGUGUGGACGCCAGUCUGCAUGGAGCCGACCUUGAAAUACCACCCUUUAAUGUUUGAUGUUCUAACGUGGACCCGUAAUCCGGGUUGCGGACAGUGUCUGGUGGGUAGUUUGACUGGGGCGGUCUCCUCCUAAAGAGUAACGGAGGAGCACGAAGGUUGGCUAAUCCUGGUCGGACAUCAGGAGGUUAGUGCAAUGGCAU
Molecule: ribosomal RNA, 1753 nt
Filed under: Salmonella enterica subsp. enterica serovar Typhimurium str. SL1344
Lineage: Bacteria; Pseudomonadati; Pseudomonadota; Gammaproteobacteria; Enterobacterales; Enterobacteriaceae
Description: partial 23S ribosomal RNA
Rfam family: Bacterial large subunit ribosomal RNA
Source: RNAcentral